GUUUUGAAGAAAAAAACCAAACAAAACCAGGAGCUACAGUUCUACCCAUAUCCAAGAGAAGAUGGUAACUCUACCAUAGAAGAUGUGAGGUAAGAUGGACAGCAGAUGACCCUGGAAGAGAUGGAAUCUAGAAGUUGGUUACAGAGAUAAGCUCAAUGACUAUCAGCUCAGCAACAUUUGUGAAUAGAAAGAUGCCUCUCCCAACAAGACUUAUAGACAUGGAGGGAAACCACAAGUUUUGGCACUGGCUUAAAUACAGCAAAAAACAAAAGAGGAGAGGCUGCUUUUCGGUAGCAAAUGUGUAGCAACAUGGACAGCAGAUGACCUUGAAGAAAGAGAUGAAGAACAGAAGCUGGGUACAGAGAGUUGCUCAGUGACUGAGAGAUCCUGGGCAUUUCCUGAGUGCAGAGCGAAGAUGUGAUGCUGCCCUGCUGAGAGAGAAUGUCACCAGAGGUGAUCCUAAAGAUUCAUAAGUGUUCCCUGCACACAUCUCCUCAACGAAUGUGCUCUGGUCACGAAGAACACUCUACGUUUUCGCCUUUGGUUUUGCCAAAUAGUCAUGUUCCUUGAAGCCUCCUCUCACUAGUGAAUCUUCCAGUGCAAGAAAGGAAGGCAAACAACAGGGUUGUUUGCAGAAGGAAUUUUGGCUACCAUCAUACCCAUAGGAUUACUUAGUGGAGACCUGAGAUAUGAUCCCUGACAAAGUGAUGACAUCACGAAGUCCUGCCACACCAGAGUUAUGUUGCCUUAGGCAUAUGUGUGUCCAUGUUACAUUUAUUUCUUCACAUGUAACCUAGCCACACGUAUUCCUGGAGUAUACCCAUUCCUCCAUAUUUCCUAGCUACAAGUGAUUCCUGUAUGUAUGCUCUCCCUUGGUUAAUGAGUUCUCACAUAAUAAUUUUUGCAUAUGCCUUUUCCUACUUACAGCUUGUUAAACUGUAGGAAAAAAAAUAUGCCUUUCACAUUUUAGGGUGUGGAAAUAAUUUUUCUUGUUAUUUUACUUUCAUUUUUAUUGACUAAAUGUCUUUUGUCUGAACCCAUGUGUUCUUUGGUUGCCUGAAAAACAAACCUACCAAUGGCAGCUUCUGUGCUACCUUUUUCAAUGGAUGCUGACCCAUAGAGUACUUUAAGCCUGGCAUAGGUUUUCACGACUCACAACAGGACGAGAGUCUCCCUGAGGAUACAUAAAUGGAAAGGAAUCCAAA
Molecule: non-coding RNA, 1205 nt
Organism: Phascolarctos cinereus (koala)
Lineage: Eukaryota; Metazoa; Chordata; Mammalia; Diprotodontia; Phascolarctidae
Source: RefSeq, a predicted model, not a curated record